CCGAACAUUUCGAACCCUGCAAAUAUUUCAUGGCAUACAUUGUAGUUGUUUAAAUAUUUCAGACUUCCCUGCUGGCGGUGUUUGCUCAGCUGGACCCUUCAAGCCAGAUGGUAAAAACUUCACUCUGAAGACAGAACACGGUGACUGCAAUAUCGGCUUCAGUUUCAUAUCGUGUAAACACGGCACUUGUGGUAGACUCACCAAUGAUUGCUGUUACACCGACAAAUUCAUCGACAAAACUAUCGGGAUCACCUGUCCAGAUGGAAAAGGAGGCACUGACACCAGAAAAAUCAAGGUCCGUGUUCCUACCAGCUGUCACUGUACGGAUGAAGACGAAAGCAUUGUAUCUGAUGCUUACAUUCUCCGGCGACGAUAGACCGCACACAGUAGGCCUUGUUAUAUAAAACUGUUACCAGUGACUCUAGUAAGAAUACUUAAAACAACAGGCUGAGUUAUUGUGUGACCACUUGGCGAUCUAAAUAAAGUAAAGAAUAAAUAUAAUAUAUCUCGAA
This is a long non-coding RNA of Gigantopelta aegis, 512 nucleotides long. RefSeq lists it as uncharacterized. The record is from RefSeq and is a predicted model, not a curated record. NCBI's taxonomy places the organism in Eukaryota, Metazoa, Mollusca, Gastropoda, Neomphalida, Peltospiridae. The transcript has 3 exons.